GACGAACGCUGGCGGCGUGCCUAAUACAUGCAAGUAGAACGCACAGUUUAUACCGUAGCUUGCUACACCAUAGACUGUGAGUUGCGAACGGGUGAGUAACGCGUAGGUAACCUGCCUGGUAGCGGGGGAUAACUAUUGGAAACGAUAGCUAAUACCGCAUAAUAUUAAUUAUUGCAUGAUAAUUAAUUGAAAGGUGCAAUUGCACCACUACCAGAUGGACCUGCGUUGUAUUAGCUAGUAGGUGAGGUAACGGCUCACCUAGGCGACGAUACAUAGCCGACCUGAGAGGGUGAUCGGCCACACUGGGACUGGGACACGGCCCAGACUCCUACGGGAGGCAGCAGUAGGGAAUCUUCGGCAAUGGACGAAAGUCUGACCGAGCAACGCCGCGUGAGUGAAGAAGGUUUUCGGAUCGUAAAGCUCUGUUGUAAGAGAAGGACGGGUGUGAGAGUGGAAAGUUCACACUGUGACGGUAUCUUACCAGAAAGAGACGGCUAACUACGUG
This 505-nucleotide ribosomal RNA is filed under the name uncultured bacterium. Its description in RNAcentral is "partial 16S ribosomal RNA". It matches the Rfam family "Bacterial small subunit ribosomal RNA", at positions 28 to 507 of the family's 1533-position model. The record is from RNAcentral.